Molecule: non-coding RNA, 1407 nt
Organism: Paramisgurnus dabryanus
Lineage: Eukaryota; Metazoa; Chordata; Actinopteri; Cypriniformes; Cobitidae
Source: RefSeq, a predicted model, not a curated record
UUCCGGGCUGUAAUCUAAAGCGUUACCGUUUGAGUGAAAAACACUUUAGGUGAAACAUUUAAGUUGAAACAACUAGGUGUUACCAAUAAAAAUGUCUUUUUUUAAGAUCCGACUUCUACUUCUUUCUGUUUAGUUUUGAACUAAAUUGCAAGUUAAAAUGCUUUUAUCAACAAAUGCCACUAUAGGUGUCCUUGGUUUGCCACAUACUCUUGCUAUAAAAAUACAUUACUGUCACUGCAUUAUUAUUACUGCAAAAAGGUUUGGAAAUUUGAUCCACUCUUGGAGCUUCAAAGCGAUAAAGUUUUCAAGAUAUUUUAGUUUUAGAAAAGGCUAUUAUCGGUUUAAUAGUUAUGUAAAGAAUUAGUGUUCACCUGUGGGCCCAUGAAACUUAAUGAGUUAAUGAUGGUACAAAGUUUAAUACAAAAGAGAUUUGAUAGAUUUGGUGUUGAUGUGAGUCAGCUCUUUAAUUUUGAUGAUUUAAUGCAUAAUAAUGUUUGGAUUGUUUAAAAGAUUUUCUCUUUGUUAUAUUUGAUGUGGCCUGUGGUGUGACUGCCGCCCGUGUGAUGUAAUGAGGUCAUAACCAGGUGUCUGAAAUCUGAUGGAUCGUUGACACAAACACAGAAAGAUCUCAAACUAUUUUUAUCUGUCCUGUGUUUAGCUCGGAGCGACUUCAGACCGACCAAUCACAGGAAACAGAAGAUGCUGACCAAACGCCUGCUGAGCAGAAGAGGUGAUCAGACUGGUUUAGUUUUUUUCUGUAUCCUGUGAGACAGUUUCAGUGCUGUCAUAUGUUCAAGCCCACCAGCCAAUCCAUGACCCUGGAACAGCUGUGACAUCACACAUAAGUCACGCAGUCCAGCCGGAGGAGCUUUGUGUGUAUGUGACCUAUAUUACAGAGGAGAGACGUCCACCGUGACCGAACCUUCGUCCGGCACCGGACCGCCACACAACACCUCCAGGAAAUUAGGGAAUUUUUCUUGCGUUCGGCUCUUGUCACCUUGCCUUAAACAUUCUGGUAAAUGCACGCGGAGAUGCUGAUGUUAAAGAGAACCAGAGCGUUUGGGUAACGUGACCUCAGGUCAUUUGUGAAACCCGACGAUGAUGAUGUUUCGCUUGUCUGGCCAAUAGAUGAGCUUGCUUACGUUAAACUAAACCUGAGGAGACGUCUGCGGUUCUCUGCCGUAUAUGAUCGUCAUUUCUCCAACCCUUCUGGCCUUUAUAGCAGUGAGAUAAUGAUAUGACUGUCAGUCCUGGACCAGAACCUUUUCAACUUUACAGCUUUUAAAAUAUUCAUGUGUUUGUGUUCUGUUUUAAGUCAUUUGACACAUUGACAAUUAGGUAGCAAAGUUAAUUUUUUCAUUUGACAACUAAUAACAAAAAAAACACAUCAUAGAAUUUAACAAAUCA